This 1146-nucleotide ribosomal RNA is filed under the name uncultured bacterium. RNAcentral describes it as "bacterial SSU rRNA". It matches the Rfam family "Bacterial small subunit ribosomal RNA", at positions 377 to 1532 of the family's 1533-position model. The record is from RNAcentral.
AAGGAGGUGAUCCAGCCAUGCCGCGUGCAGGAUGAAGGCCCUAUGGGUCGUAAACUGCUUUUGUUGUGGAGCAAUAAGGAUUACGUGUAGUCCGACGAGAGUACACAGCGAAUAAGCAUCGGCUAACUCCGUGCCAGCAGCCGUGGUAAUACGGAGGACGCGAGCGUUAUCCGGAUUUAUUGGGUUUAAAGGGUGCGCAGGCGGACUUUUAAGCGGGAGGUGAAAAUGCGGCGCUCAACGUCGUACCUGCCUCUCGAACUGGGGGUCUUGAAUUCUCGUGCCGUGGGAGGAAUGUGUGGUGUAGCGGUGAAAUGCAUAGAGAUCACACAGAACACCGAUUGCGAAGGCAUCUCACGAACGGGCGAUUGACGCUGAGGCACGAAAGCGUGGGGAUCAAACAGGAUUAGAUACCCUGGUAGUCCACGCAGUAAACGAUGAUGACUAACCGCCGGCGAUACAAUGAUCGGUGGCCAAGCGAAAGCGAUAAGUCAUCCACCUGGGGAGUACGACCGCAAGGUUGAAACUCAAAGGAAUUGACGGGGGCCCGCACAAGCGGAGGAACAUGUGGUUUAAUUCGAUGAUACGCGAGGAACCUUACCCGGGCUCGAACGGCAGAGGAGCGUGGCAGAGAUGCCACGGCCCUUCGGGGCUUCUGUCGAGGUGCUGCAUGGUUGUCGUCAGCUCGUGCCGUGAGGUGUCGGCUCAAGUGCCAUAACGAGCGCAACCCUUGCCGUCAGUUACCAUCACGUAGAGGUGGGGACUCUGGCGGGACUGCCACCGCAAGGUGAGAGGAAGGGGGGGAUGACGUCAAAUCAGCACGGCCCUUACGUCCGGGGCGACACACGUGUUACAAUGGUGACUACAGAGGGGUACUACCUGGCGACAGGAUGUGAAUCUCGAAAAGUCAUCUCAGUUCGGAUCGGAGUCUGCAACCCGACUCCGUGAAGCUGGAUUCGCUAGUAAUCGCGCAUCAGCCAUGGCGCGGUGAAUACGUUCCCGGGCCUUGUACACACCGCCCGUCAAGCCAUGAAAGUCCGGGGCGCCUGAAGUCCGUGACCGAGAGGAGCGGCCUAGGGCGAAACGGGUAAUUGGGGCUAAGUCGUAACAAGGUAGCCGUACCGGAAGGUGUGGCUGGAUCACCUCCUU